Molecule: ribosomal RNA, 549 nt
Filed under: uncultured bacterium
Lineage: Bacteria
Description: bacterial SSU rRNA
Rfam family: Bacterial small subunit ribosomal RNA
Source: RNAcentral
UGGGGAAUAUUGGACAAUGGGCGAAAGCCUGAUCCGGCCAUGCCGCGUGUGUGAAGAAGGUCUUCGGAUUGUAAAGCACUUUAAGUUGGGAGGAAGGGUUGUAGAUUAAUACUCUGCAAUUUUGACGUUACCGACAGAAUAAGCACCGGCUAACUCUGUGCCAGCAGCCGCGGUAAUACAGAGGGUGCAAGCGUUAAUCGGAAUUACUGGGCGUAAAGCGCGCGUAGGUGGUUUGUUAAGUUGGAUGUGAAAUCCCCGGGCUCAACCUGGGAACUGCAUUCAAAACUGACUGACUAGAGUAUGGUAGAGGGUGGUGGAAUUUCCUGUGUAGCGGUGAAAUGCGUAGAUAUAGGAAGGAACACCAGUGGCGAAGGCGACCACCUGGACUAAUACUGACACUGAGGUGCGAAAGCGUGGGGAGCAAACAGGAUUAGAUACCCUGGUAGUCCACGCCGUAAACGAUGUCAACUAGCCGUUGGAAGCCUUGAGCUUUUAGUGGCGCAGCUAACGCAUUAAGUUGACCGCCUGGGGAGUACGGCCGCAAGGUUA